GACGAACGCUGGCGGCGUGCCUAAUACAUGCAAGUAGAACACACAGUUUAUACCGUAGCUUGCUACACCAUAGACUGUGAGUUGCGAACGGGUGAGUAACGCGUAGGUAACCUGCCUGGUAGCGGGGGAUAACUAUUGGAAACGAUAGCUAAUACCGCAUAAUAUUAAUUAUUUCAUGAUAAUUAAUUGAAAGGUGCAAUUGCACCACUACCAGAUGGACCUGCGUUGUAUUAGCUAGUAGGUGAGGUAACGGCUCACCUAGGCGACGAUACAUAGCCGACCUGAGAGGGUGAUCGGCCACACUGGGACUGAGACACGGCCCAGACUCCUACGGGAGGCAGCAGUAGGGAAUCUUCGGCAAUAGACGAAAGUCUGACCGAGCAACGCCGCGUGAGUGAAGAAGGUUUUCGGAUCGUAAAGCUCUGUUGUAAGAGAAGAACGGGUGUGAGAGUGGAAAGUUCACACUGUGACGGUAUCUUACCAGAAAGGGACGGCUAACUACGUG
This 505-nucleotide ribosomal RNA is filed under the name uncultured bacterium. RNAcentral describes it as "partial 16S ribosomal RNA". It matches the Rfam family "Bacterial small subunit ribosomal RNA", at positions 28 to 507 of the family's 1533-position model. The record is from RNAcentral.